RNAcentral lists this ribosomal RNA (254 nucleotides) under uncultured bacterium. RNAcentral's name for it is "partial 16S ribosomal RNA". It matches the Rfam family "Bacterial small subunit ribosomal RNA", at positions 524 to 776 of the family's 1533-position model. The record is from RNAcentral.
UACGUGGGGUGCAAGCGUUGUUCGGAAUUACUGGGCGUAAAGCGUGCGCAGGCGGUCUGUUAAGACCGAUGUGAAAUCCCCGGGCUUAACCUGGGAACUGCAUUGGUGACUGGCAGGCUUUGAGUGUGGCAGAGGGAGGUAGAAUUCCACGUGUAGCAGUGAAAUGCGUAGAGAUGUGGAGGAAUACCGAUGGCGAAGGCAGCCUCCUGGGCCAACACUGACGCUCAUGCACGAAAGCGUGGGGAGCAAACAGG